UGGGGAAUAUUGGACAAUGGGCGCAAGCCUGAUCCAGCCAUGCCGCGUGAGUGAUGAAGGCCUUAGGGUUGUAAUGCUCUUUUGGCGGGGACGAUAAUGACGGUACCCGCAGAAUAAGCCCCGGCUAACUUCGUGCCAGCAGCCGCGGUAAUACGAAGGGGGCUAGCGUUGUUCGGAAUUACUGGGCGUAAAGCGCACGUAGGCGGAUCGGCAAGUCAGGGGUGAAAUCCCGGGGCUCAACCUCGGAACUGCCUCUGAUACUGCCAGUCUAGAGUCCGGAAGAGGUGGGUGGAAUUCCUAGUGUAGAGGUGAAAUUCGCAGAUAUUAGGAAGAACACCGGUGGCGAAGGCGGCCCACUGGUCCGGUACUGACGCUGAGGUGCGAAAGCGUGGGGAGCAAACAGGAUUAGAUACCCUAGUAGUCCCUGAGCGGGCUGGCAAGGCGCAU
This 447-nucleotide ribosomal RNA is filed under the name uncultured bacterium. RNAcentral's name for it is "bacterial SSU rRNA". It matches the Rfam family "Bacterial small subunit ribosomal RNA", at positions 355 to 825 of the family's 1533-position model. The record is from RNAcentral.